CAGUCUCCAGACAGGCAAAGGAAGUCUCACUCACAGCUAGCUAGCUAGCAAGCUAACAUUGGUAUCUGUAGUUUUCUGAGCGAACGGUAUGGAUUCAUAUAAAUAAUCGUUUGAUUGAGACCCAGCCAUGUCUCAGCUGGAGAAGAAGGCGGGGCUUCUGAGAAGGACGUCCUCCUCUAAGAAACCCCUGAAGGAGAAAGUGGUGCUGAUGUAUGAUGAGAUCUUUGCGAAAGAGGAUCCAGCCAAGAACAACUCCCGUUUCUGGGAUGAACUCUUCCUCAUGAAGGUAA
Molecule: long non-coding RNA, 290 nt
Organism: Salvelinus sp. IW2-2015
Lineage: Eukaryota; Metazoa; Chordata; Actinopteri; Salmoniformes; Salmonidae
Source: RefSeq, a predicted model, not a curated record